AGUGGUUCUCGGGACACCCCCCGGAAUCAGGCUUCCUCCUCUCAGGUUCUGGGUGCAUUACCCAAGAACUGCA
Molecule: non-coding RNA, 73 nt
Organism: Myotis davidii
Lineage: Eukaryota; Metazoa; Chordata; Mammalia; Chiroptera; Vespertilionidae
Source: Rfam